RNAcentral lists this ribosomal RNA (387 nucleotides) under uncultured bacterium. RNAcentral describes it as "bacterial SSU rRNA". It matches the Rfam family "Bacterial small subunit ribosomal RNA", at positions 30 to 413 of the family's 1533-position model. The record is from RNAcentral.
UGAGCGCUGGCGGUAGGCCUAACACAUGCAAGUCGAACGGCAGCGCAGUAAGGGCUUGCUCUUAUGGGUGGCGAGUGGCGGACGGGUGAGGAAUACAUCGGAAUCUACUCUGUCGUGGGGGAUAACGUAGGGAAACUUACGCUAAUACCGCAUACGACCUACGGGUGAAAGAGGGGGAUCGCAAGACCUCUUGUUAUUGGAGCGGCCGAUGGCUGAUUAGCUAGUUGGUGAGGUAAAGGCUCACCAAGGCGACGAUCAGUAGCGGGUCUUAGAGGACGAUCCGCCACACUGGAACUGAGACACGGUCCAGACUCCUACGGGAGCAGCAGUGGGAAUCUUGGACAAUGGGCGAAAGCCUGAUCCAGCAAUGCCGCGUGCGUGAAGAAG